GAUGAAUAGACCGGUUUUCGUUCGAUCACCGAAGUUAAGCAUCGUUGAGCCAGGUCAGUACCUAAAAGAGGAACCGCUUGGGAACACCUGGUACUGUAAG
Molecule: ribosomal RNA, 100 nt
Filed under: Acanthosepion pharaonis
Lineage: Eukaryota; Metazoa; Mollusca; Cephalopoda; Sepiida; Sepiidae
Source: RNAcentral